UCGCCUGUUUAACAAAAACAUUUCCUACAGAUAUUAUUAUAGGUAAAACCUGCUCAAUGAAAAUUUAAAUAGCCGCAAUUUACUUGUGCUAAGGUAGCAUAAUCAUUUGUUCUUUAAUUUAGAACUAGAAUGAAAGGUUUAAUAAUUUAAUCUCUAUUAUAAAUAUAUUAUAUUAAUUUAUACUAAAUAUAAAAAUAUAUUUAUAAAAAAAUUAGACGACAAGACCCUAUUAAACUUUACUAUUGUUAAGCUGGGGCAGCUAAAUAAUUAAUAUUUUAAUAUUAUUACAAAUUAAAACCCAAAAUUUUUGAAUUUUAAUCAAGUUACUAUAGGGAUAACAGCGUAAUUUUUAUAAAAAGUUCUUAUUUAAAUAAAAGUUUGCGACCUCGAUGUUGAAUUAAAAUUCUUUAUUUCGCAAUAGAAAUAAAAGAAGGUCUGUUCGACCUAUAAAUAUUUACAUGAUUUGAGUUCAAACCGGUGUAAGCCAGGUUGGUUUCUAUCUUUUUAAAUUAUUUUCUAGUACGAAAGGACAAAAAAUAAUAUUUUUAAUAUUUUAUUGGCAGAUAAAUGCAUUAGAAUUAGAAUCUAAAAAA
RNAcentral lists this ribosomal RNA (593 nucleotides) under Rhomphaea fictilium. Its description in RNAcentral is "partial 16S ribosomal RNA". The stretch from base 214 to 502 matches the Rfam family "Archaeal large subunit ribosomal RNA", at positions 2155 to 2712 of the family's 2987-position model. Lineage: Eukaryota; Metazoa; Arthropoda; Arachnida; Araneae; Theridiidae. The record is from RNAcentral.